This 468-nucleotide ribosomal RNA is filed under the name uncultured bacterium. Its description in RNAcentral is "partial 16S ribosomal RNA". It matches the Rfam family "Bacterial small subunit ribosomal RNA", at positions 28 to 507 of the family's 1533-position model. The record is from RNAcentral.
GACGAACGCUGGCGGCGUGCUUAACACAUGCAAGUCGAACGGAAAGGCCCUGCUUUUGUGGGGUGCUCGAGUGGCGAACGGGUGAGUAACGCGUGAGUAACCUGCCCUUGACUUUGGGAUAACUUCAGGAAACUGGGGCUAAUACCGGAUAGGAGCUCCUGCUGCAUGGUGGGGGUUGGAAAGUUUCGGCGGUUGGGGAUGGACUCGCGGCUUAUCAGCUUGUUGGUGGGGUAGUGGCUUACCAAGGCUUUGACGGGUAGCCGGCCUGAGAGGGUGACCGGCCACAUUGGGGCUGAGAUACGGCCCAGACUCCUACGGGAGGCAGCAGUGGGGAAUAUUGCACAAUGGGCGGAAGCCUGAUGCAGCAACGCCGCGUGCGGGAUGACGGCCUUCGGGUUGUAAACCGCUUUCGCCUGUGACGAAGCGUGAGUGACGGUAAUGGGUAAAGAAGCACCGGCUAACUACGUG